Molecule: long non-coding RNA, 1228 nt
Organism: Apodemus sylvaticus (European woodmouse)
Lineage: Eukaryota; Metazoa; Chordata; Mammalia; Rodentia; Muridae
Exons: 4
Source: RefSeq, a predicted model, not a curated record
UAGAGGCCAAGAGCAAGAAGGGAAAAUGGAAUGGGGGAAGCCUGGGCCUGGACCAGCUCCAACUAGUUAUAGACCACGCAGGGUGAGCUGGGUAGUUUUGUCAGCUUGUCAUAAACUAGAGCCACCUGGGAAGAGAAAGACUCAGCUGAGGCUUGCCUCCAUUAGAUUGACCUGUGGCCACAUCUGUGGGCCAUUUUCUGGAUUGAUUUUGACGUGGAAGGCAGUGCCAUCUUUAGGCCUGUGGUCCUGGGUUCUAUAAGGAAGCAAGCUGAGCAAGCCAUGGAAAGCAAGCCAACAAGCUACCCUUCCCCAGUGGCCUCUGCUUCAGUUCCUGCCUCCAGGUUCCUCCUUGAGUUCCUGCCCUGGAUUUCCUCCAUGAUGGACUGUAACCUGCAAACAAGCUUCUCAGAUGGACCCCCGAGUUUGGGACAUCCAGCACCUCUCUGUUGCAAAGCAUCAUUCUCCAGUUGUCAUCCAUUUACUGGACCCUACCAGCCUUUGGAACUAAGAACUUCAGGGAGAAGCAAUACAUUUCCAAGGGUUUUGAUGAUCAAGGAAUGGUGGAGGAGUCAUGACAGGCCAAGGGCAAGCUGAACUGCUGAAGCUUCUGAAAGGCGACAGCUGUUGACAUGAGAAGACAAAGAACUUCCGGCCCCUGCUGCCCCAAUGAAGGCAGCUGGGGAACCACUCGGGGAAAUGUAUUAUUGCAGAGAGCUGCCAACGGUGAUGGCGACUCCCUGGCACCAGCUGCACAAUCUGAAACCUGCCUCCGCUCAAGUCACACAGACUGGAGGGGCACAGAGAGACACAACAUCUGGGUCACUGGCUGUGCUUUCUAGUUGGCAGCCAAGUAUUUUGGCGUCAUGGAGUUAAGACUUGAUUGGUCUUGGUGUAAAUUGCUGGCCCCUGCUACCCUGCUUUUGGGGCCCACACCUGCUGAAUCAUUUCUGAAGCGAUCCAUGUAGGACAUUCCUUACACUGAAGUGGGACAGGCCAGGCCUCCCCUGCCCACAUUUGUGUUCUUCGGCUAGAAUUUCAAAGAUUUCCUUUUUGGAAAAAAAGAUACCUUAGCAAUGUCUGGUAGUAAUGACACAUUUUUCAAACUGCUGUCAAAAAGCGGAGAACAAAUCUUCCAGUCUCUUCUUAAAUUCCCCUGUAACUUUAUACAGUAAAGUACAACAAAAGUCACUCUUUGCAGUGCACAUCUCUACAGGUUUUGACAAAUUUA